RNAcentral lists this ribosomal RNA (254 nucleotides) under uncultured bacterium. RNAcentral's name for it is "partial 16S ribosomal RNA". It matches the Rfam family "Bacterial small subunit ribosomal RNA", at positions 79 to 334 of the family's 1533-position model. The record is from RNAcentral.
CUUUUUUUGCUGGCGACCGGCGCACGGGUGAGUAACACGUAUCCAACCUGCCCUUUACUCGGGGAUAGCCUUUCGAAAGAAAGAUUAAUACCCGAUAGCAUAAUGAUUCCGCAUGGUUUCAUUAUUAAAGGAUUCCGGUAAAGGAUGGGGAUGCGUUCCAUUAGGUUGUUGGUGAGGUAACGGCUCACCAAGCCUUCGAUGGAUAGGGGUUCUGAGAGGAAGGUCCCCCACAUUGGAACUGAGACACGGUCCAA